UGGGGAAUCUUAGACAAUGGGGGAAACCCUGAUCUAGCCAUGCCGCGUGAGUGACGAAGGCCUUAGGGUCGUAAAGCUCUUUCGCCAGGGAUGAUAAUGACAGUACCUGGUAAAGAAACCCCGGCUAACUCCGUGCCAGCAGCCGCGGUAAUACGGAGGAUGCAAGCGUUAUUCGGAAUUAUUGGGCGUAAAGCGUCCGCAGGUGGUGCCUCAAGUCUGCUGUCAAAGACCGAAGCUCAACUUCGGGCAGGCAGUGGAAACUGAAGCACUAGAGUACGGUAGGGGUAGAGGGAAUUUCCAGUGUAGCGGUGAAAUGCGUAGAGAUUGGAAAGAACACCAGUGGCGAAGGCGCUCUACUGGACCGUAACUGACACUCAGGGACGAAAGCUAGGGGAGCGAAAGGGAUUAGAUACCCCCGUAGUCC
Molecule: ribosomal RNA, 424 nt
Filed under: uncultured prokaryote
Description: bacterial SSU rRNA
Rfam family: Bacterial small subunit ribosomal RNA
Source: RNAcentral